RNAcentral lists this long non-coding RNA (292 nucleotides) under Nicotiana benthamiana. RNAcentral's name for it is "long non-coding RNA (NBEN_LNC002320)". The record is from RNAcentral. Lineage: Eukaryota; Viridiplantae; Streptophyta; Magnoliopsida; Solanales; Solanaceae.
UUUAAUUGUGCAUUUUUAUCUACUUGACGUGUGGAUAUUAUUUGAACUGCUCCUGCUAUCCCCGUUUCAUUUAUUAAAGUUUUCAUUAGUAUUUUUUAACACCAAUCACCAUAUUGCAUUUGUUAUCGCUAUUGUCGGAGAGUUUAAAAAAGCUAAAAGUUAAAAAGGUUGGUAGCUAGUGAAAAUUAAACUGAUAACUUUAUAAAGAUUUUGAACUUGUUCGAUCAUUAAAUUAUAUUUUUAAAUUAUUUUAAAAAUAUUUUAUAUAUAAUAUAUAAAAAUAAAUAAAUUU